Molecule: transfer RNA, 74 nt
Filed under: Candidatus Stahliibacteriota bacterium CG08_land_8_20_14_0_20_40_26
Lineage: Bacteria; Candidatus Stahliibacteriota
Also listed under: 1 other name
Description: bacterium (Candidatus Stahlbacteria) CG08_land_8_20_14_0_20_40_26 tRNA-Arg
Rfam family: tRNA
About the family: Transfer RNA (tRNA) molecules are approximately 80 nucleotides in length. Their secondary structure includes four short double-helical elements and three loops (D, anti-codon, and T loops). Further hydrogen bonds mediate the characteristic L-shaped molecular structure. tRNAs have two regions of fundamental functional importance: the anti-codon, which is responsible for specific mRNA codon recognition, and the 3' end, to which the tRNAs corresponding amino acid is attached (by aminoacyl-tRNA synthetases). tRNAs cope with the degeneracy of the genetic code in two manners: having more than one tRNA (with a specific anti-codon) for a particular amino acid; and 'wobble' base-pairing, i.e. permitting non-standard base-pairing at the 3rd anti-codon position.
Source: RNAcentral
GCGCCUGUAGCUCAACUGGAUAGAGCAUCGGAUUUCUAAUCCGAGGGUUGAGGGUUCAACUCCCCCCAGGCGUA